AUUGAACGCUGGCGGCGUGCCUAACACAUGCAAGUCGAUCGGUAACAGGUGUAGCAAUACAUGCUGACGAGAGGCGGACGGGUGAGUAACGCUUGGGAAUCUGCCUAUUAGUGGGGGACAACCCGGGGAAACUCGGGCUAAUACCGCAUACGCUCUACGGAGGAAAGCCGGGGACCGCAAGGCCUGGCGCUAAUAGAUGAGCCCAAGUCGGAUUAGCUAGUUGGUAGGGUAAUGGCCUACCAAGGCGACGAUCCGUAGCUGGUCUGAGAGGACGACCAGCCACACUGGGACUGAGACACGGCCCAGACUCCUACGGGAGGCAGCAGUGGGGAAUAUUGGACAAUGGGGGAAACCCGUGAUCCAGCGACGCCGCGUGGGUGGAAGAAGGCCUGCGGGUUGGUAAAGACCC
This 409-nucleotide ribosomal RNA is filed under the name uncultured bacterium. RNAcentral's name for it is "bacterial SSU rRNA". It matches the Rfam family "Bacterial small subunit ribosomal RNA", at positions 29 to 433 of the family's 1533-position model. The record is from RNAcentral.